CCUACGGGAGGCAGCAGUGGGGAAUAUUGGACAAUGGGGGGAACCCUGAUCCAGCCAUGCCGCGUGUGUGAAGAAGGCCCUCGGGUUGUAAAGCACUUUCAGUGAGGAAGAACGCCUGGUGGUUAAUACCCAUCAGGAAAGACAUCACUCACAGAAGAAGCACCGGCUAACUCCGUGCCAGCAGCCGCGGUAAUACGGAGGGUGCGAGCGUUAAUCGGAAUUAUUGGGCGUAAAGCGCGCGUAGGUGGCUUGAUAAGCCGGUUGUGAAAGCCCCGGGCUCAACCUGGGAACGGCAUCCGGAACUGUCAAGCUAGAGUGCAGGAGAGGAAGGUAGAAUUCCCGGUGUAGCGGUGAAAUGCGUAGAGAUCGGGAGGAAUACCAGUGGCGAAGGCGGCCUUCUGGACUGACACUGACACUGAGGUGCGAAAGCGUGGGUAGCAAACAGGAUUAGAUACCCGGGUAGUC
This 465-nucleotide ribosomal RNA is filed under the name Vreelandella stevensii. RNAcentral describes it as "partial 16S ribosomal RNA". It matches the Rfam family "Bacterial small subunit ribosomal RNA", at positions 338 to 795 of the family's 1533-position model. Lineage: Bacteria; Pseudomonadati; Pseudomonadota; Gammaproteobacteria; Oceanospirillales; Halomonadaceae. The record is from RNAcentral.